GUUUUGUUGUUCUUACCUAUAUAUGCUCCAGUGGCCUUUAGUAGAAGACGGAUAUAAAUAUCGCCGUUUUUUUUGUUUUUUUCAUGAUGACAGCAUAUGGCUCAUACUUUGUUACUGUCGCGCAAACUUUCUGGGAAAGCCGAUUUUUUUUUUUUUUUUUAACGUUCACUCAGCUCCUUCUGCUGCUGCAGAGAUAGGCUGUUUACCUGACCCGGAUUCACGAGAACCGGCAUUAGAACAGCCUGCUGAAGCAACUUGAGGAAAGCGAUUAGAGAGAUUAAGUCCAGCUGGAUUCCUGCAGUCAACUCUAUGCGAGUCUGCGGAGGUGUUAAAUCCAGAUCAACAUGCUGCCUCUACUGUCUCUCUCACUGUUGCUUUCAAUAGGACCUCAGUGCUGAACUAUUGAGAUGAGCUAUUUGAUGAAAACCUGACUUCUCUUUAUGAUCAUUAUUGGUCAGCAGUGAUUGAUCAUGGUGCUGUGUUUGAUAACGAUUGUCAUGUAAAGGUGUCCGCUGCCUCAUGCUCUUUAACGCGAACGCCUCCUCCAUCUGAACUAGGAUGUCUGGAAAGUGUCCGAUUAUUUAGCUCACACAUCAGCAGUGAUCACUGUCACGGACACAUGUGUUGUGACCCUGCAUCCUGAGUCUGAAGAGAGGAAAGACCCAUGACUGCUAACGCUGUGCCGGCGGAGGUGUUUUUGUGCUCUGGGAAUCAACAACUUGUCAUCUGACGGCAGAGCAAUAACAGAGAGUCAGAUAAAUUCCCCCUGCUUUUAGUUGAGUCAUGGCGAAAUGGUCCUCAGAGGCAUGUCGUAGGUCAUGCACAUGCUUCUGUUUCCAAGAGAUACAAGGAGGGAAAAAAAAACCCCACAAGUCUGCAAGAAUGAGUCACUGCAGAGAUGGUCAAAGGGUAAGAGCGAAACUGAACUUUCUUGUUUUGUGUUUGUUUGUUCGAUUCAAAGCAUUCUCUUAUUUACUCCAAAAAGAUGCCCUCCGUGAGUUCAGUCCAAAUAAAGUACGCGCUAACCUUGUUUUUUAUGACUGAUCCCCACAUUUUUAUGUCACCAUCAAUAAUUCCUAAAUUGCUUUUCGUCUUUGGUUUGCAAUCAUUAAUUAAUUAUACUGAACAUCCCCCAUAAUGAGGUAGUCACUGUCAUAGUUACAUGAUUUCUGGGCUUCUUUCCAUUUGGCAUAGGAUAUCACCGAGCCUAUUUGGUAAUUAUAGAGCAGAUGAGGCCCCAUACAGUACUUUUUGCAACUUUGCAGCUCUAAAUAAAAAAGAGAACCAGCUAGUUCAAUCAAGACCUCAUUCAUCUACUGCUUUCCUUCCUACUCCACUUCAUUUCCUCCUCUCUCUCUCUGGGUUUCCUUUCCUCUCUCAUCACGGCUCUCCUCUGCCUUUAUACAUUUUUUUUGUUUCUCUCCAGCCCUGCAGGUCUGCCAGAGCAGUCAUGAUAAUUUGUUGAGCUUAAUAACUCCUCCGACAACAAAGAAGGCCAUUGAGUAUUGUGACAUGAAAUGAUAGGAAUAGAAGUUCCUGAGUGGGGAUGCUCGUUGAAGCAAGUGCCUUGGCUGUCACUUCUACUAAAAGCCUAUUCACAGUUGAACAGAAGGGAUGCAAGUGGUUGCAUGGGCAACUCUGUGUAUGUGUGUGUGUGUGUGUGCAAGUUUGUCCUUGUUGGAGAGAUGUCACAGUGAAACUGCCACAUGGUAGAAACAGGAUGGCAUUUAAAUAUCUGAAAAUAGUCCCUAUAUGCAAAACACCCACAUUUUUCAAGGUUAAAGUGUGAAAUACAUGCAUAAUACGGUCUAAUUUAUGUUUUUUUCUUCAUUUUGACAAUAUGUUGGCAUCAGUGCAUGUUCAUAUAGUGCAGUGGUGAUAUUUGCUAGUGAAGCUGCAAUCUAUCAGUGUUUUGUUCACAGUCAGAGGGUCAGAGGAUUGUUCCAGAAGGUCUGAGGGAAAUAAUAGAUUGGGGAAAGCAAAGAGCCCCUGCAGCUGACGAACAUUCACUCACUCAUUCAACAGGGAUUCAGCGCUACUGCAGGGGUUUCUCCCAUCUACUGUAAACCACAUUGCAGCAACUCUGUAUGACCACAUUUGCUACAGCACCAAAAACACUGCGUCUGCCUUGAUUCACUCUCUCCCAAUCCCACGAGCAGGGGACAUUGAUUAAAUAGUCAAUAAUGUUUUCACCGAAUGACCUAUUUUCCUGUUCCAGUCUUUGGUAAACAAGAAAAUGGAUCAUAAUGCAGUCAAUGUUAAGAGUGGCUGAACAGUGUGAUUGAUGCCUGCGGCAGAGAGGGGCUAUGCGAACUAGUGCGUCAAAUACCGAGGAUUGGUCACUCGCCCAAAACUUCAAACUAUGUCACUCUAGCGUCAGUUUUGGAAUGCAUCAGAGACAUUGUGUCAAUAUAGGCUCGUUACAUGGAUAGUGUCCUAUUGUUUUCAAAGUACAUUUCCAUCUUCACAGGAAGUUAGGUUUAGGCAACAAAACCACAUAGUUAGGUUUAGGAAAAUAUUGUGGUUGAUGUUAACUUUUAGUAUGGCUUUUAUUUAAGGUGCCUAGUCAUUGAUUGUCUUAGUUUUUAAGUCUGAAAAAGUCUCAAAGGUUUUCAGCCUGUUUUAACAUUGUAUUGUGUAUUGUUGUAAUGUUUAGUCUUGCAAAAUGAUAUUGUAUUGUUGUCUUUUAUUUUUUUUAUUUGCUCUGUGAAGCAUUUUGGGCUCCAUGAUAGGUGCUAUCUAAAUUGAGUUGAGUUCAGACUAAGUACUCAAGUUACUUCUGAGUGACGUGACUAUAGCGAAUCCCAUAAACCAUGUGUCUAAUGAUUGACGUGUCAAUACGCGUCAACAUUGACUUUUAGUUUCACAUGGAACAGGAACAGCGGCGAAAGUCCUGUGUUUGUUUGACCUAUCCGCAAACAGCAUCCGAAACCAUCGCCUCUCCCAUAGACUUUAUAUAAGAAGUGGAUGUAGUCACUGUGACAUCACCCAUUGGUUUGGGAAGUACCGUUCUGAAGUCAUUAAAAGAUCCCCUCUCAAUGUCCUUCAGAUGUAAGUGGUGCUUGCUCAGUAUCUCCCUUCAGACACCUGUUGGAUUUGUCAAAGAUGCAAAGUUGAUAUUUUUCCACACUCUUAUCAUCAGAGAGGGGGGUGAGGAUGUGUGUCUGUCAGCUAAGAUGGUUGGUUCUUUCAACACAAUGUAUUAAUUCUUCCUAUUUUGGGAGAAAGUGCAUUUAGGACUUCGAUGUAACCACAGUUCAGAUGGUAAAGCAGUUAGGUGAAAUGACAAGAAAUAAUAGGGCCUCCAGCUAAUUUCCCUGCAAGAUCAUCUGUGAGGAGUGAGAGCAGAAUGCAUUAGUCUGCUUUUCAACUGUGGGAGCCUGUAGGAUUGAGCUGUUGGCUGUGUGCCCACUGAGUGUAUUCAACCCUCUACAGAUAGGUCUUUGUCCUCUGCGCUUUAACGCAGCUGCUAAACAACCGUAAGACAAAAGCAUCUGGGGUACCCCAGCACACCAAUGAGAAAUGUUCACCAUAUGAAGAGCCCUGCCAGACAGCCUGAGACCAUUUGGAAGCAACCAAAUGCUAUGCAUGGGAUGAAUUAAGCAGGAAUUUAAAUGAAUACCCAUGUAAACCCUUGUGACUUUUUCUUUGCCCCUAUAUUCAGAAUUAUUUGUGAAAUCCUACUCAAGAUAUUCAAAGACGUUUUUUUUGACGAUACUGUCAUAAAAGCGAACCUUGUGAAGACUUGUCUGCAACACAGCUUGUUGCUUAUCCAAGUUGUGGCAGGAAAUGCACAUGAUGGUGCUGCAUGUGACACAGUGAAACCAGAGUUAGAAGCCACUUGACACACACACACACACACACACACUCUCUCUGUCGCCAGCCAGGAAUCAUUUUCCUGCCAAAGAAAAAGUUUUUUAAGUUAGACAUUUUAUUGUCUGCUUAUUGUCCUCCAGAGAAUGUCUUGAUAUGCAGGAGGGGGCACUUCUGCCAAGCAGAAGAAAAUCUGCGAUCGCUGAGCUUUUAGAAAGCAACAGCUGCAAGGAAACCCAAUAGCUGAGGGAGAGCGUUUGGCGAGACUGUUUUGGGGAUGGAUUUCAAUUUGACUCAAUUGUUGAACGGUUUUGUAGAAAAAAUGUAGUGUAUUCAACUGAGUUACACUUUUACCAUUUAUACACACAAGCUUUUUUAUCACUUACUGUUAGGGCUAAACGACUUUAUAACAAUAUGUAAUUGCAAUUAUUUUGACUGAUAUUGCAAAUAUGAUUUACUAUAUUAGAGGGAUUGAUUAUAUUCACAUUGUUAUUGUCAUGUUCCUUGAAAAUUAGAUUAAAAUUAUUAUGGUGUGAUUUUGUGGGGAUCUGUACCAAACAAAGAUGUAGAAUAUGAUGUGUAGGCCGGGAAAUCCCUUCAGCACAACAUAUUGCACCUUGCCAUAUUAUGACUCUUUCAAUUAAUUGUGCAGCCCUACUCACUGUAGGUUCACUUGAGAGGAAAUGAGAAACUUACCAGCUAACAGCGGCUUCAGGGGAGAGGAAAUCCCAGAUGUUUCUGUCUGAAAAACAGGUUGACCCUGUAAACCACACGCAGACCAGAGGAGAGAUCAGUCAGCAGUAUGAACGUUACAGCUACGCCACUGAGAGCUCUCAUAAGUCAUCUUAGCUUUUGACCUCCACUCUAUGGAAAAACAAUACGGUAACAAUGGUGUCCACGGCUGAAAAUGGGAAAGUAAUGUUGUGAAGGAACGGAGCAUCUGGAAUGUAUAGAGCAAGCUUCCUGCAACUGAACACAUGUUGAGAGAGAGAGAGAGAGAGAGAGAGAGAGAGAGAGAGAGAGAGAGAGGUAUUAGCAUUAAGAGUUGCUUUGUGUUUGUUGUUGCUAGGCAGGUUCAGACUAAACAUUUUCCAAGACAAUAUAAGAACAUCAUCUUCUGUAUUUAUUGAUUUCAAAGUUAUUUGAAUUUGAGGCACUGACUCGUCCUGUUUCUUUUCACACUUAAAGCUGCACAUCUUCUAAAAGAAACAAAGUAAACAGUGUUUUAUUUCUUCAUUGACAGUUAUGACACGGUUAUGCAAAUGAGUUUAAAUCAGUUUCUAGUGCCAAAGUGUUCUGCAAACACAGAUUGAAGCACUUCUUUUUGCAUACAAAAUGAUUUAACAAACAUGACUCUCUUUUGAUGUAUUAUCAGACCGGUGGUUCCAUCAAGUUUGCACAGACUGAGAGUGAGAGUGUAAAUCUUUAGACACUAAUAAUGAUGUAGUGACUGUAUCACAUCUGAUGGUGCCAUAAAUGGGUUUUUUCAUUGCACAGUAGAUGCUACAAAGUGUCCAGUAUGAUGGACAAAAGGGUAUUACCGCCUGUUCUGUUGGGAAAACUGUACUUAAAGCAGUAAAGUAAUGGAUUGACCCACUCUCGCAGAGUUCAGCCAGGGCAGAGUAUACGAACCACUAGAGAGAUUAGCUCCUAUCUUUCUCUUGCAAUGAGCUGUAUUAGCCACUUAUUGUUAAGAACUUAGUCCACGUCUAAACCGCUUCCAUCAUGAAUCUGAGGACAAACAAAUCCCUGCAGGGGUGGAAGUGUCAGGUUCAGGUUGCGGCCGACUCCCUGUCCUUCCAGGAUCCAUCCGCGGGACGCAGGGCUUAGAGACAAGAGAGAAGAGCCUCGUGGAACAAUGGCAUUAAAGUGAUCUCCGUGUCAUCUGCUCUGUUGUCAUAGUGCUGGCGAUGAAUCCUGACACGGUGGAGUCCAAGUGGCUACUAUGUUUCACUGGCUGGGGCUAAAAGGAGGAGGUUUCUACUCCUUCUAAUGAGGGAUGGGGGGAACAGAGAAGAGGAGGGUUUGAAAAGGGUAAAGUCUUGGGUCAAGGGUGAGAGGUUGGCAGCGUGAAGCGGAGGACAAUAGGAUUGGCGGGUGACACGCAGAGAAAGAAAUCCCAGCAGCUGGGAUAGACAGAGAGGGUGGGGGCUGUUCAUGGGAAGCAACUCCAAGAUUAGCUGGAAAGUCUCAUCUAAUGUCCCCAUGUCUCUGUGCUUCAUUAUGUCUCUAUUGUGUGUGUGUGUGUGUGUGUGUGUGUGUGUUCACAUGCUUUUGCCCUGUGCAACAAGUAGGAAAAUGAAAGACUGUCUCGAGCCCUGUGUUAUUUGGCAUCUCAGCACCUGGAGUGUGAGAACGUUUGAGUUGUGGAGAUCCUAAUCAGUGUAAGAAUGACAUCUGUAGAAACAUUUUGCUUUCAAACUAUUUCUAGGUCUCCUGGCACAACAUGCUAGAUCUUCUUUACAAACAUCCAUAUAAAAUGUCUCAUGCCAAAAAUACAUUCAACUGGAGCUGGUUAUUCAGGUUUGAUGUUAUCAUCACUCAAUAUCAGCAUGCUUGUGUUGUUAAAUUUCCCAAAGAAUAUUCAUAAAUCAAUAACAUUAUGUGCACAUCUGUACAAGACUAAACAAAUAACCUGCUAACUACCUUAAGAUUCAAAGUGACUGCCGUCCUGUCAUUCAUGGAUUAUAAAAGGAAACUCAGUGGCCUUUGUCUGGAGCUAAAUAAACAAAUGCUUACAGUGAUGGAUAUUGUAUUUCAAGGAUCAACACCACAAAGGGAAGUCCCUGGGGGGCUUAUUUAUACUCUGUGCAGUUUAAUAGACCGUCAGACAUUUAAAAUGGCUUUGUAAGGUGCUCAGUGUCAAAAUGACUGCAAAGUGGCUGCAGUUUGCACUUAAUCUGUGCAGAGAAAAGAUUGAUAUACAGAGAGUAUAGACAGAUUAAAUCAGGUUAGAAUUACAUCUGCACCUUAAAGGGCCAUAAUUACAUGUACAUGAAGGAGCUUUAAAGCGGCUUUAAUCAAUAUUCUUCUAUUAACAAUGGACCACAUGAGUAUUUGUAUGUGGAAGAUGUUGCUCAUCGUGACAAAUCCACAGAACUUUAACACCUGACUUUGCAGUUCUGCUUUAUAGCAUCUCAGCUCAUUGCUUUGGUUUUCAUGGUUUGCAGCUGUUUUCAGUGAAUCGCUCUACGCUACCUCUUCAGCAGCAAAUGACCGACAAACAAAGAUCCCUAUUAGCUGGCGACCAUAGUGGAACGUGUAGCACCUGAACAGCCAGAUAUUUCCCUCAAGAGUUUGUGGAGACCAAAAGGAGACCAUGUUUCUGCCAGAUAUAGUAUAAGUAGAUAUACUUUGGGGUAAAUGCUUUUUUCUCUCACAAAUAAUCUUUCCUGAAGCUCGUCUAUUUUGGGGGAACUGCUGAACGUGUUGGGGAAUAAAAGCGUUUUUUAAACCCCUUAUUUUUUCUUAGAGUCAACUAUUCAGGAGUUGCUGGGUAUUUUCAUUUCCUCCAUUUCUUGGCAAAGUAUUAUCACAAUAUAGAUUGAAAAAGACAAGAGGUUAUUAUCUAGCAUUAUUCCAACUGGAUAAUGGAGAGGUGUUUGCUUGCAGUACCUUUUGGCGGGUUCAUUGGCUGCAUAAUGUAAGAGUGGCAGAACCACAAAGACGGCAAAAAGCCUCUUCCAGACCGGAGGCAUCAUUAAAGUAUUUACUGUACGCUGAAAGAGAAAAACAAACAAUUAUGCAGACCUUUACUUUUCUCUAAAAUGGCAGCAAUACGGCCUGUAUGGGACGUGGUGGGGUACUAUAAAAACGCCUUAUCUCUAUCUUUCACUCUUUUCCAGGUUUCUGUUUCCUGGCAUUGAUUUGCUCUUUUGACUCCAGAUUAAAGUUGUGAAAUUCUUAGUGUGAAGGUUUUGACAUUGUAUUGGUUUUCUGUCCGGCACACGCCAUAGUGGCAGUUUCCAAGGUACUGUAAGCUAGGAAGCCUGGAUAAUAGGAAGCAUCUGUGGCGCUCACUGCAACACACUUUGGCCAAAACCACAGUGGCUGUGGAGGUGCCAGAGUCGAGAGGAUUGUGAAGUCAUUUUUUGAAGAAAAACAUGGCUGCCAGGCAUCCUCGAGUAAGUGUUUUGCUCCAUUUCCAGACCUAACAUGAUGGAGUAUCACAAACAUGCAAUUAGUGAAGUACUGAGUCAGAUACUUUGGGCAUUGUUUGGUCAAACACUUGUAAUUACAAUGGAGAGAAAAAUUCCAUCUGGAAAUUGUACAGUGGAAGAAACGCCAAGACAUAAAUGUGUCUAUAAGAAAUGGCUGGAAUUGAAUAGCAGAGCUGGAUUACCGCUUUUUCAGCAUAUGCCUUCACAUCUUUACAGGGGUUUGGGAGAAUACUUUUAUAUGUGGAAACAAUUGUAAGAAGUCUUUUGUGGCUACAAAGGGACCUGUGAGUGUGAAGUCUGAUAAAUUGCCUCAAGUGAUAUUCACCUGAGUCAGCAUUGGUUGAUGCUGAAGACUACAAGUUACAAGUAACACAGUGAGCUUACCGUGUACUGUAUCUCAAGGCUACAUUAGCUGCUUCUAGCAUAAUACAUCCGAAUCGCUGACUCAACUGUUGCAUUGUGGGUAAUGUAGGUGCCUGGAUUCGACAAGGAAGAAGAUGAAUGCAUUGAAUUACAUAGACUUUUUGUUUUAAACAGUCCAAUGUAAGACAAACAUCAGAGGCGCUCAUUCAAGUAUAAAGGUUGAAAAGCCUUUAUUUAAGUAUGACACCAUAAUGAUUCAAAUACCCUUUAACCUUCACUCUACUCCAACACUGAGUGUAUGGAAGAUUUUUUUUCUGGCUAUACACACAAUGUUGAUAUCCCUUAGUUUAUAGCUUCUUGCCAGGGCCAAAGGGAAGCAAAAUGAUCAUUAUAAGUCAGACCCCUGUGGUUUUCCAUCUCACAAUCCACAUAUUUUGCUGUAAUGGACGAGGACAGUUAGCAUAUUCAUUUCGUUCCAUUGCAGAGAGAGACUUUUCCUAGAAAAUAUGAAUACAAUUCAGGCUCAUGUUGGUUGGAUUUACAUGGAAGAAUUAGCUGUUCUUCUCGGGUGAGUUUGAGUCAUGCAUUUUGAUGUAUUGACUGUUAUAACUAAUCAUAUUUCAUAACUGAAUUGUUGACCAAAAUUUGUACAGAAUUUGUAAUGCGUUUUGUUAUUCUGUAGACUCGCAGAGGAAAAUGGGUCAACAAAACAAGUGAAUGGAUCUGUGUAAUGGGCAGGUAGUGUGCUGCUUUUGUAAACCAAUCAAUGACUUAGAUUCAGCACGCCAAACAUGACGGCAGACAUACAGAGCAGAUUGACCUAUGAAAAUGGCCUGCAUUUAAAUCCAGGACAGUAAUACCACCACAGUACAUUGGAAGGAAAUUCACUGACUGCAACACAUUGCCAAAACAAGGUUUACAGGAAUCUCUGUCUCAAAUGUGGUUAUAUACCACAAAUCACUGCAAGAAAUGAAAUGCUACAGCUUUUUUCCAUGAGAGCAGCAAAAUAUUCCUCAUCUGCUCUGCUCUGGUGGGAUGAGCCUGCUUUCCUCAGGCCGUUGCCAUGUGCUGGUAAGGGGAACUCGGGGCCUGGGCACUUGCCUGCAUCCCUGAGAACCCAGUCCUCACUGUGAGCCAAGCGGGGUGCAGGUCUUCACGGGUGACUGAACACUGAGGAGCAUUCAGGGCCCCCGGUCUCACAGCGUGAAAGGUUGACCCACAAUGAAGCCUCCUCCAUUUGUAUAAGCUUCAUCAUCAUUCAAAUUGUGUCUUCAAGUAGGGGAGUGGCGCUGUCUCGACACUGGAGCGGAGCAUGCAGCUCUCAGGCUUGGCCUCCUGUGUUCACGUGAAUAUUCCCACAGCCACUCAGUCUGUCACAGUGUUUUUGGUAAAGCUCCAAUCAGUCUGUUGCUCUUUAUAUGUAUAAUACCUUCCUUGCUUUAUUCAUUUCUGACGUUCAAGCUUCUUUUCUAGCUUAUUGUUUUGAUUUAAGGUUAUUACAUUUACUGUGUUGUUCAGUUUCUCUUCUCAAAAUCAACCCUGUUGCCAGCAGCAGGCAGCUGUUUCCAGCAAAAUAAAAAUGAAUACACACUGUGCUACCUGCCCAGGGAGUUGAACAUCUAACUACUGAAGAGCGAGAUAUUAAUCUCAAGAGUUGAUGGAGACCAAAACAGAGCUCAAAGCAGAGUGAAUGUUAUAUUUGUCAGCCAGAACUUUAAAUUAUUUCUAUUGAACACAAAGUAGACGUAAUAUUGUACAUUUGAUUCCUAGAAUUAGGUUAAUUGCAUUAGCUGAGAUCAUUCAUGCUUCACAAUCACUGGCUCAUUCACCAGUUGCUUGGCUACUAGCUGAGUAGUUAUGUAAAACCAAACAGCAACCAUUUGCUAUAGUUGGCUUUCAUUGACAUGUGUGUCUCUGACUGAAACAGGGGUUAAAGCCAAGAUUGAGGAUAUGAAAAUCUCUCAUAAUCAGUGUUUUAUUGAGUUAUUAUUUGCCUUCAGAGGAUAAGGCAGGAUAACGAGCACUGUAACAAAACUAUACAUGCUGAAUUUCUAUUUCUGAGCCAACAGUCAAUGCAUGACUUUUCUUCUGUUAAAGAACACUUUGUUAACUUUGGUUUUCCCUAGCUUAAGAUCCCAGCCAAAAAAA
Anarrhichthys ocellatus (wolf-eel) is the source of this 10484-nucleotide long non-coding RNA. RefSeq lists it as uncharacterized. Lineage: Eukaryota; Metazoa; Chordata; Actinopteri; Perciformes; Anarhichadidae. The record is from RefSeq and is a predicted model, not a curated record. The transcript is spliced from 2 exons.